UACAGAGGUGGCAAGCGUUAUCCGGAGUAACUGGGCGUAAAGGGCGGGUAGGUGGUUGUGUAAGUUGGUUAUGAAAGCUCCUGGCUAAACUGGGAGAGGUUGACCAAGACUGCAGAACUUGAGUGGAGAAGAGGUAAACGGAAUUCCGCGUGUAGUGGUGAAAUGCGUAGAGAUGCGGAAGAACACCAGUGGCGAAGGCGGUUUACUGGUCUCCAACUGACACUGAGCCGCGAAAGCAUGGGUAGCGAACGGG
Molecule: ribosomal RNA, 253 nt
Filed under: uncultured bacterium
Lineage: Bacteria
Description: partial 16S ribosomal RNA
Rfam family: Bacterial small subunit ribosomal RNA
Source: RNAcentral